GCUCAUGCAGCGUAGCGUGGGGAGCAGACAGGAUUAGAUACCCUGGUAGUCCACGCCCUAAACGAUGUCUACUAGUUGUCGGGUCUUAAUUGACUUGGUAACGCAGCUAACGCGUCAAGUAGACCGCCGGGGGAGUACGGUCGCAAGAUUAAAACUCAAAGGAAUUGACGGGGACCCGCACAAGCGGUGGAUGAUGUGGAUUAAUUCGAUGCAACGCGAAAAACCUUACCUACCCUUGACAUGGAUGGAAUCCGGAAGAGAUUUGGGAGUGCUCGAAAGAGAACCAUCACACAGGUGCUGCAUGGCUGUCGUCAGCUCGUGUCGUGAGAUGUUGGGUUAAGUCCCGCAACGAGUGCAACCCUUGUCAUUAGUUGUUACGAAAGGGCACUCUAAUGAGACUGCCGGUGACAAACCGGAGGAAGGUGGGGAUGACGUCAAGUCCUCAUGGCCCUUAUGGGUAGGGCUUCACACGUCAUACAAUGGUACAUACAGAGGGCCGCCAACCCGCGAGGGGGAGCUAAUCCCAGAAACCGUUUUCUAGUCCGGAUUGGAGUUGCAAAUUGGACUCCAGAAAGUGGGAAUCGCUAGUAAUCGCGGAUCAGCAUGUCGCGGUGAAUACGUUCCCGGGUCUUGUACACACCGCCCGUCACACCAGGGAGUGGGUUUUACCAGAAGUGGGUAGCCUAACCGCAAGGAGGCA
Molecule: ribosomal RNA, 700 nt
Filed under: Herbaspirillum sp.
Lineage: Bacteria; Pseudomonadati; Pseudomonadota; Betaproteobacteria; Burkholderiales; Oxalobacteraceae
Description: bacterial SSU rRNA
Rfam family: Bacterial small subunit ribosomal RNA
Source: RNAcentral